UCCCCUUCGGGGGUGACGCUUGUGGAAUGAGCGGCGGACGGGUGAGUAACACGUGGGCAACCUGCCUGUAAGACUGGGAUAACCCCGGGAAACCGGGGCUAAUACCGGAUAAUACUUUCUUUUGCAUAAAGGRAAGUUGAAAGGCGGCUUCGGCUGUCACUUACAGAUGGGCCCGCGGCGCAUUAGCUAGUUGGUGAGGUAACGGCUCACCAAGGCGACGAUGCGUAGCCGACCUGAGAGGGUGAUCGGCCACACUGGGACUGAGACACGGCCCAGACUCCUACGGGAGGCAGCAGUAGGGAAUCUUCCGCAAUGGACGAAAGUCUGACGGAGCAACGCCGCGUGAGUGAUGAAGGUUUUCGGAUCGUAAAACUCUGUUGUUAGGGAAGAACAAGUUGGGUAGUAACUGACCCWACCUUGACGGUACCUAACCAGAAAGCCACGGCUAACUACGUGCCAGCAGCCGCGGUAAUACGUAGGUGGCAAGCGUUGUCCGGAAUUAUUGGGCGUAAAGCGCUCGCAGGCGGUCCUUUAAGUCUGAUGUGAAAUCUCGCGGCUCAACCGCGAACGGUCAUUGGAAACUGGAGGACUUGAGUACAGAAGAGGAGAGUGGAAUUCCACGUGUAGCGGUGAAAUGCGUAGAGAUGUGGAGGAACACCAGUGGCGAAGGCGACUCUCUGGUCUGUAACUGACGCUGAGGAGCGAAAGCGUGGGGAGCGAACAGGAUUAGAUACCCUGGUAGUCCACGCCGUAAACGAUGAGUGCUAGGUGUUAGGGGGUUUCCGCCCCUUAGUGCUGAAGUUAACGCAUUAA
Molecule: ribosomal RNA, 813 nt
Filed under: Oceanobacillus sp. MH6R2-2b
Lineage: Bacteria; Bacillati; Bacillota; Bacilli; Caryophanales; Bacillaceae
Description: bacterial SSU rRNA
Rfam family: Bacterial small subunit ribosomal RNA
Source: RNAcentral